CAUUAUACAACGGAGGUCUGCUAUCUCUAAUAGCAUUAGAAUGUGCUAAACAGUAAAGUAUGCUUUUUCUCUUUUGGUCCAGGGUGGUAAAUCUCGUGAAAAGGUGGUGAAGCUUUUGGCUUCUACAACUCCAGAAGAGAUCUUGGAGAAAUUAAAAAAGGAAGCCAAAAAAACAUAAAAGCAAGAAAUGAGGCCGGGCGCAGUGGCUCAUGCCUCCCUAAAGCAGUAACUAUAGAAGAAAGAAUUACCCUAAUUGUUUCAGGCCAAUUAAGGCCCAUCCUAGAGGUGGAAAUGGGGUCAAUUAUAUCAACCUCUAGAAUUUUAGAAACGAGCACAUCUAAGCAUAUGGAUACUCUCUUACCUUACAAAGUAAAAGCAUUUUCUAUUUUAAAAUUUUUAUUUCUGUGUAAAACAAAGAAUUCCUAGAGGUCAAAUAAUAUACCAAACUUAAAGCACUAUUAAGUCAUGAAACAAAGAAGAUUCUGAGGUAGAAGUCAAGCAAUAUAAUCCACAGUUUCAGGUAUUCCCAGCAACCAUCGCAUUUCGCAAGUAAGAUCUAUUUUUUUUAAAGUCUCAACUUCCAAAAAAUCAAUAAUCCAUUCUGUAAAAUCAGAUGUAAAACUAUGACCAACAGAAGACACCCAAACUUUUCUCAUGGU
Molecule: long non-coding RNA, 659 nt
Filed under: Homo sapiens (human)
Lineage: Eukaryota; Metazoa; Chordata; Mammalia; Primates; Hominidae
Description: non-protein coding lnc-HOMER2-3:3
Source: RNAcentral